RNAcentral lists this ribosomal RNA (496 nucleotides) under uncultured bacterium. RNAcentral's name for it is "partial 16S ribosomal RNA". It matches the Rfam family "Bacterial small subunit ribosomal RNA", at positions 29 to 507 of the family's 1533-position model. The record is from RNAcentral.
AUGAACGCUGGCGGCGUGCCUAAUACAUGCACGUCGCGCGAACAGACGAGGAGCUUGCUCCUCUGACGUUAGCGGCGGACGGGUGAGUAACACGUGGAUAACCUACCUAUAAGACUGGGAUAACUUCGGGAAACCGGAGCUAAUACCGGAUAAUAUAUUGAACCGCAUGGUUCAAUAGUGAAAGACGGUUUUGCUGUCACUUAUAGAUGGAUCCGCGCCGCAUUUGCUAGUUGGUAAGGUAACGGCUUACCAAGGCAACGAUGCGUAGCCGACCUGAGAGGGUGAUCGGCCACACUGGAACUGAGACACGGUCCAGACUCCUACGGGAGGCAGCAGUAGGGAAUCUUCCGCAAUGGGCGAAAGCCUGACGGAGCAACGCCGCGUGAGUGAUGAAGGUCUUCGGAUCGUAAAACUCUGUUAUUAGGGAAGAACAAAUGUGUAAGUAACUAUGCACGUCUUGACGGUACCUAAUCAGAAAGCCACGGCUAACUACGUG